Long non-coding RNA from Galleria mellonella (greater wax moth), 783 nucleotides. RefSeq lists it as uncharacterized. NCBI's taxonomy places the organism in Eukaryota, Metazoa, Arthropoda, Insecta, Lepidoptera, Pyralidae. The record is from RefSeq and is a predicted model, not a curated record. The transcript has 2 exons.
AAAGCAAAUAAUUUUCUAAAGAAGGAUACUUUUUGUAAGACUCAAAGGCUAAUUUAGACUUUUUGACUACCUCAUCGCAAAGAUCAUUCCACCAUACCGCUACCUUUAUUUUUUUGUUAUGGCUGCACUGGGAGUUCGAUGACAUUGACGUCUUUACUUUAUUACAUGAAUUUGACAACAGUGAACUGUUUACUAUUUGAAUAAAAUUGUCAUAGUUUAAUAUGGGAUCAUCGCACAUUAAAAAAGAAGAAAAACAUCUAUCACAAUCGUUUCUAAAUCCACACCAAUCUAACUUUUUGAGAUUAAUAGAGGAAAUAAGUGGUUGGGAAGUCACAUUGGUGCAAGGGUUGUGCUCAUCUUCAUUGCGACUACUGUCGUUGUAAUGAUCUAUAAUCAUGGGCACCAGCACAUAUGGAACAAACUUGCUUACUUCUGCAGGAACUGCUUCCGUGACCAAAUUUGUAACAAGUGAAGCAUUGGAGUAGAGGUCUAAUGAAUUCAUGCACAUCCAGCCAAAUAUGGUCAUACGUUACGUGAUCAGGUCGCUGCGUAGAGAGGAAAGUUACUAAAACUGUAGGAAGAGGAUGAAAACUUCCAUCUUCUUUCUUUUUUUUGAAACGUUUAACACCAAUGAUGUCUACAGUAGAUUUUAGGUUAUUUAAGAGAUCUUCCUCAGAUAUUUCAGUAGGAGCUCUUAUAACUCCCUGAGAUUCCAGCUGAUUAUUGGGUAUCCUAGCUUGAAGUUUAUGUUUUUCUAAUAAAUCUUUAUUUAAUAAAAAUUCA